CGUUAUUUCGCAUGUCGUUGGGGUUGAGGAGGAACUCGCGAAUUUCUAAGGCUUUUUGUAGAUAAAAUUUAUAGUUGGUAUUGGAGUUUCAGAGUAUUAUUACUACUAGAGCUUGAAAAAAAAAACAUGUAGGGCUUUAAGAAUGGCAAUUUUUGGUGGGGCUUGAGAGUUUCCGGCACUAUAGGGGUGUUUGCCAAUCAGCGUUAAGCUUCCAGCUGCUUCUAUAUAAUAUUGAGGCAUGCCACUCACAUGUGUGUUGUCUGUCACCUGCCAACAUGGCAUGAAAGACAGUUAGUUGGUCGUCUUCGAUGAAGUCACCAUGAAGACGCUGUCGUCGAUACCAUCCAGAAAAACGGUAUAACCGACAACAACGAUUAUUUCUUGGCUCAGGAUUCAAAUCUUCCGUUCGUUAUUCUCCACAGCUCCCUCUAUGAUAUAUUUUACUAUAUGGCCUGGCACGCGAACGUGAAGGAGCGCUCAUGUACUUUGACUUGCUUCCAUUUUUGCAUUCAAAUCGGUUCAUCAGCUACUCUACCAGCAGAAAAUGACUCCAAAGUUAUUUACUUCUUUUCUGUAGUUUCAUUACGCUACCAACAAAAAUGACACGGAAUUUUUAUCAGCUACAUUACUUGCAGAAAAUGUUAUUGAAGGCUUGCUGAAUUCCUGACUUCUGCUUAUACGAUGCCUUACCUGAAGCGGUCCAGGUUUAUAAUAGGAUGGGUGUAUAUCAGCAUUUGUACUAACGCUGUCUGUUAAACACGCCACUGCCGACAAGGAAUUUUCUCUGAAAUGAAUGAUUCUGGUAUUGAGACGUGCAGGUGCAACAAACACAGUAGCUGAAAUGCUAUUGUACUCUCUUCUUACUGAAAACUCAUAAUCAGCUAGUAAAUAAUAUGAAUGAAACUGUUAUCAGUCUUAUUGUGACAUAAUUUUGUUAAUGGAGAUUGAACAACACACGCGACUUUUCUAUCUAUGGUAGAAGUAUGUGAGAACACUAAUUUUAUUUACUUAUCUAUAACAGAUACUGUAGCAGAUAAAUGCAAAAUUCACAUUCCAGGUAUAUAUAUAUAUAUAUAAUAUUGUAUUAAAUAACUUUUUUUUUGUAACAUGACUAUACAAGAUGCUUUUAUUUUUAUCUGUAACACUAUUAGGUAAACUUUUGCUUUAUUCAUUUAAUUUUUUCUAGCUUCAUAAUUAAGAAAAAGUUUGCCAUUUCGAAUCUUGUGAUUUGACCGGAAAUAGAUGACAAUGGGAUUUGGGUGCUCGUGUAAUUUAGAGGCAAUUCUAUUUUUUGAUGGUAUAUAAAAAAAAUCUGUUUAAAAUACAAUGAACGGCUUUUGGAAAAACAACAGUAGGAUAUUUUGUGUGCUGGAUAAGCUUUGUAAUAUUUUUGUUAACUUUUACGUUUGUUUCCAAGACAUCAUAUAUUUUUCUGUUCAACUCGAUAACUGUUCUCCAAAUAACGUUUUGUCACCCUGAACUGGUAAAUCGUUGCACUGAAAAAUGUGUUCUGCAAGUAACGUUUUGUCAAACUAAACUGGUAAAUCGUUUCGCUGAACAAUGUGUUCUGCAAGUAACGUUUUGUCAAACUAAACUGGUAAAUCGU
Limulus polyphemus (Atlantic horseshoe crab) is the source of this 1606-nucleotide long non-coding RNA. RefSeq lists it as uncharacterized. The record is from RefSeq and is a predicted model, not a curated record. NCBI's taxonomy places the organism in Eukaryota, Metazoa, Arthropoda, Merostomata, Xiphosura, Limulidae. The transcript has 5 exons.